UGCCAGACUCCUACGGGAGGCAGCAGUGGGGAAUAUUGCGCAAUGGGCGAAAGCCUGACGCAGCGACGCCGCGUGAGGGAUGAAGGUCUUCGGAUCGUAAACCUCUGUCAGCAGGGAAGAACGGUCACUGUGCUAAUCAGCAGUGAAUUGACGGUACCUGCAAAGGAAGCACCGGCUAACUCCGUGCCAGCAGCCGCGGUAAUACGGAGGAUCCGAGCGUUAUCCGGAUUCAUUGGGUUUAAAGGGUGCGUAGGUUGUUUUAUAAGUUAGCGGUGAAAUACCGAUGCUCAACAUCGGGGCUGCCGCUAAUACUGUAGGACUAGAGAUCGGAUGCAGCAGGCGGAAUGUGUAGUGUAGCGGUGAAAUGCAUAGAUAUUACACAGAACACCGAUUGCGAAGGCAGCUUGCUAGGCCGGAUCUGACACUGAUGCACGAAAGCGUGGGGAUCGAACAGGAUUAGAUACCCCAGUA
RNAcentral lists this ribosomal RNA (471 nucleotides) under uncultured bacterium. RNAcentral's name for it is "bacterial SSU rRNA". It matches the Rfam family "Bacterial small subunit ribosomal RNA", at positions 329 to 792 of the family's 1533-position model. The record is from RNAcentral.